AACAUGACUCUCGGCAAUGGAUAUCUCGACCCUCGCAUCGAUGAAGAGCGUAGCAAAACGUGAUAUUUGGUGUGAAUUGCAGAAUCCCGUGAACCAUCGAGUUUUUGAACGCAAGUCGCGCCCGAUGCCUUUCGGCGUAGGGCACGCCUGCUUGGGUGU
This 159-nucleotide ribosomal RNA is filed under the name Langsdorffia malagasica. RNAcentral describes it as "5.8S ribosomal RNA". It matches the Rfam family "5.8S ribosomal RNA". From Rfam's summary of the family: 5.8S ribosomal RNA (5.8S rRNA) is a component of the large subunit of the eukaryotic ribosome. It is transcribed by RNA polymerase I as part of the 45S precursor that also contains 18S and 28S rRNA. Functionally, it is thought that 5.8S rRNA may be involved in ribosome translocation. The record is from RNAcentral. Lineage: Eukaryota; Viridiplantae; Streptophyta; Magnoliopsida; Santalales; Balanophoraceae.